RNAcentral lists this ribosomal RNA (253 nucleotides) under uncultured bacterium. RNAcentral's name for it is "partial 16S ribosomal RNA". It matches the Rfam family "Bacterial small subunit ribosomal RNA", at positions 524 to 776 of the family's 1533-position model. The record is from RNAcentral.
UACGAAGGGGGCUAGCGUUGUUCGGAAUUACUGGGCGUAAAGCGCGCGCAGGCGGUCUUCCAAGUCAGUGGUGAAAGCCCGGAGCUCAACUCCGGAACUGCCAUUGAAACUGUUAGACUUGAGGAGGAGAGAGGUGAGUGGAAUUCCCAGUGUAGAGGUGAAAUUCGUAGAUAUUGGGAAGAACACCGGUGGCGAAGGCGGCUCACUGGCUCAUUACUGACGCUCAGGCGCGAUAGCGUGGGGAUCAAACAGG